AUGAGCGCUAUUCAAAAGCUGCAUCUUAUGAUGUAUCUAAACGCUGCUCAACAAGUGAAGCACAUCCCCGAGAAGACAAGAUUAGAAACCACAUUUCUGCUAGGAUUGAGGAUUCUCCCAUGGAGAAUGAUGGAGCAACAUCAAAUUUAGAGCGGAGUGACUCUGCUAGUUUACCUAUGACAGAAGAGGUUGUUACUAAUGUUACCAACAAUAAGGAAGAGCUUGCGGUUUUAAGUCUUGGAACUGAAUCACAAAUGGUGGAGCUCAUGGUAGAAAAUGUUGCAUGUCUUGUCCCUAACAUUAAAAGGCAGCCACAUGUUGAAAGUUCAAGUGACAACAAGAUUAUUUGCUCUUCAGAACUUGAGGUUAAAUUGGAAGCCGAGGUCCAUGCUGAUCCUGCAGCCCUUGAAAAUCAACGUUUACUUCCAGGCAAGGGUAAGUUGGAUAUAACAAAAUCAUUGGCAAAACCUGCAGGGACAUCUUCAGGAUGCUUGUCUGAAAAAACUGUAGUAAAUAUUACCACUAUAGUCAGUUCAGAAAAUAGUGACUGUAAAUUACAGGAAGGCAGUAGAAAUGCAAUGAUUGGUAAUAAUACAACUAAUACUGAUGAAUCACCCAGUGCACUCUGUCA
RNAcentral lists this unclassified non-coding RNA (631 nucleotides) under Hevea brasiliensis (rubber tree). The record is from RNAcentral. Lineage: Eukaryota; Viridiplantae; Streptophyta; Magnoliopsida; Malpighiales; Euphorbiaceae.